This 1966-nucleotide ribosomal RNA is filed under the name Pasteurella multocida. Its description in RNAcentral is "partial 23S ribosomal RNA". It matches the Rfam family "Bacterial large subunit ribosomal RNA", at positions 410 to 2360 of the family's 2925-position model. The record is from RNAcentral. Lineage: Bacteria; Pseudomonadati; Pseudomonadota; Gammaproteobacteria; Pasteurellales; Pasteurellaceae.
AAGUAAGGCGGGACACGAGAAAUCCUGUUUGAAGAUGGGGGGACCAUCCUCCAAGGCUAAAUACUCCUGAUUGACCGAUAGUGAACCAGUACUGUGAAGGAAAGGCGAAAAGAACCCCGGUGAGGGGAGUGAAAUAGAACCUGAAACCCUGUACGUACAAGCAGUAGGAGCGAGGGCAACCUUGUGACUGCGUACCUUUUGUAUAAUGGGUCAGCGACUUAUAUUUUGUAGCGAGGUUAACUGAAUAAGGGAGCCGAAGGGAAACCGAGUCUUAACUGGGCGUUGAGUUGCAAGGUAUAGACCCGAAACCCGGUGAUCUAGCCAUGGGCAGGUUGAAGGUUGGGUAACACUAACUGGAGGACCGAACCGACUAAUGUUGAAAAAUUAGCGGAUGACUUGUGGCUGGGGGUGAAAGGCCAAUCAAACCGGGAGAUAGCUGGUUCUCCCCGAAAUCUAUUUAGGUAGAGCCUUGAGCGGACACCUUCGGGGGUAGAGCACUGUUUCGGCUAGGGGUCCAUCCCGGAUUACCAACCCGAUGCAAACUGCGAAUACCGAAGAGUGAUACUCAGGAGACACACGGCGGGUGCUAACGUUCGUCGUGGAGAGGGAAACAACCCAGACCGCCAGCUAAGGUCCCGAAGUCUAUAUUAAGUGGGAAACGAAGUGGGAAGGCUUAGACAGCUAGGAUGUUGGCUUAGAAGCAGCCAUCAUUUAAAGAAAGCGUAAUAGCUCACUAGUCGAGUCGGCCUGCGCGGAAGAUGUAACGGGGCUCAAAUAUAGCACCGAAGCUGCGGCAUCAGAAUUUAUUCUGUUGGGUAGGGGAGCGUUGUGUAAGCGGAUGAAGGUGGCUCGAGAGGGUUGCUGGACGUAUCACAAGUGCGAAUGCUGACAUAAGUAACGAUAAAACGAGUGAAAAACUCGUUCGCCGGAAGACCAAGGGUUCCUGUCCAACGUUAAUCGGGGCAGGGUGAGUCGGCCCCUAAGGCGAGGCUGAAAAGCGUAGUCGAUGGGAAACGGGUUAAUAUUCCCGUACUUGGUAAAGCUGCGAUGUGGGGACGGAGAAGGUUAGGUAAGCGGACUGUUGGAUAUGUUCGUUUAAGCAGGUAGUUGGAAAGGGUAGGCAAAUCCGCUCUUUCAUACAACAACGAGACGUGAUGACGAGGCUCUACGGAGCUGAAGUUACCGAUACCCGGCUUCCAGGAAAAGCCACUAAGCGAAAGGCUUUACUAAACCGUACUGAAAACCGACACAGGUGGUCAGGUAGAGAAUACUCAGGCGCUUGAGAGAACUCGGGUGAAGGAACUAGGCAAAAUAGCACCGUAACUUCGGGAGAAGGUGCGCUUACAGUAAUUGUAGUCCCUUGCGGAUGAAGGUGAAGUAAGUCGAAGAUACCAGCUGGCUGCAACUGUUUAUUAAAAACACAGCACUCUGCAAACACGAAAGUGGACGUAUAGGGUGUGAUGCCUGCCCGGUGCUGGAAGGUUAAUUGAUGGUGUUAUCGAAAGAGAAGCUCCUGAUCGAAGCCCCAGUAAACGGCGGCCGUAACUAUAACGGUCCUAAGGUAGCGAAAUUCCUUGUCGGGUAAGUUCCGACCUGCACGAAUGGCAUAAUGAUGGCCAGGCUGUCUCCACCCGAGACUCAGUGAAAUUGAAAUCGCCGUGAAGAUGCGGUGUACCCGCGGCUAGACGGAAAGACCCCGUGAACCUUUACUAUAGCUUGACACUGAACAUUGAAUUUUGAUGUGUAGGAUAGGUGGGAGCCUUUGAAGCAGUGACGCCAGUCAUUGUGGAGGCGACCUUGAAAUACCACCCUUUAACGUUUGAUGUUCUAACGAAGUGCCUGAAACGGGUACUCGGACAGUGUCUGGUGGGUAGUUUGACUGGGGCGGUCUCCUCCCAAAGCGUAACGGAGGAGCACGAAGGUUUGCUAAUGACGGUCGGACAUCGUCAGGUUAGUGCAAUGGUAU